Molecule: unclassified non-coding RNA, 236 nt
Filed under: Hevea brasiliensis (rubber tree)
Lineage: Eukaryota; Viridiplantae; Streptophyta; Magnoliopsida; Malpighiales; Euphorbiaceae
Source: RNAcentral
AAUCCAAAUUUGUUACUGCCUUGUGGGUUUCCUGAUGAGACUGGAAUUGGAUUGGGCUCCUUACAUGCAAUUUCUGAUGUUAAUUUGCAUUCAGUUCCCUCUUCAAGUUGUGCAGUGCAGCCUACAUUUGACUUCAACAAUCAACAUGAAGCCAAUUUAAAUGUCCAUCCAAAUAAUGUCGCUCUUCAAAACGUCUCCAGUUUUCAGGAGCAUUACAAUUUGGCAUCUGAUCCCUG